Long non-coding RNA from Corvus hawaiiensis (hawaiian crow), 408 nucleotides. RefSeq lists it as uncharacterized. NCBI's taxonomy places the organism in Eukaryota, Metazoa, Chordata, Aves, Passeriformes, Corvidae. The record is from RefSeq and is a predicted model, not a curated record. The transcript is spliced from 3 exons.
AGCAGGGAGCAGUCUCUGAGUGCAAACCAUGGCUGCUUUCUCAUCUGUUAAGUGGUAACCCCCGAGUUCUGGUGGAGUGAUCUUUGUGCUGUUGUGGGGAUGCCUUGAAAAUGUCACUUGCUGAAAAAACAGCAGCACCCUAAGUGGCUUGGCAUUUGCAUACUACAAAUGACAUGUGUUCAUCUGGUGAAAUCACAUGGAAAACCAUAUGGCAGCAUCCACGCUUGGACAGGCAUUUGACUUGACUAAAGUAAUUUCUCAGCAAGCUUGUCCUUGUUGACUGCAGGAUUUUGGGGAUUAUAACAGGAAUGUGGACAAGGCUGUCAUGUCCUUCAGGAUUUUUAGUGUGAUGUGCAAAGUCUCCAGACUGACUUUUGAGCAUGCUCCAAUUUGGCUGCAAGAAGAUGG